This 635-nucleotide long non-coding RNA is filed under the name Homo sapiens (human). Its description in RNAcentral is "HSALNT0309018". The record is from RNAcentral. Lineage: Eukaryota; Metazoa; Chordata; Mammalia; Primates; Hominidae.
CUGGGAGGGAGAUGGGUGAGGGAUAUGUUAAAUUAUCUUCAAACUGAAUUGUAAUUCCAAUACCUGAAUCUGGGUUUAAUCCAGAAAACCCAGACAGACCUGGAGUUUCUUCUAUGUGGGUACAUCUUGAGGGACAGAGCCUAUGGCCUGCUCCCUCCCUGUCUCCUCGCCUGUAAUUAGGUUGCUUCUCAGUGCCUGGCAUAUAAAGGGCUGGUACCGCAGAGGAGACAGAGGAGUGAGAAAACUGAUAAGCCAAUUUGCAGAUGACCCUUGUAGGAUGCAGGAGUUUGCAUCUCCGUGUCUGUGUCUGUACAUGCAAAGUGAAGGAUCAUGGAGGCAUCAUCAAAAGUCAUUGUGCACACAACUUUCUGCAGAUGCCAUCACCUGCCUGGGAUGCUGGAACCACAGACGCCAUCUUGGACUGUUGGGGAGCAGUUUGUUUAGGAGGAAAUGCCAGCACCCGAGGAUGGCAGAGCAGAAGUGAUGGAGACCUCACCGACUGCCUGAAUUAACCAAUCCUGGAAUUACACGCUGCUCUGGGCUUCUUGUUGCUUAUAAUAUGGGACCAUCCAGCUGCUGGAAAACAAGCUCAGGGUUCCCAUUGAUUGUACCUUAUGGCUGUGCAGUAAUUCCUG